RNAcentral lists this ribosomal RNA (301 nucleotides) under uncultured bacterium. RNAcentral's name for it is "partial 16S ribosomal RNA". It matches the Rfam family "Bacterial small subunit ribosomal RNA", at positions 509 to 809 of the family's 1533-position model. The record is from RNAcentral.
CAGUCGCCGCGGGAAUACGUAGGGUGCAAGCGUUAAUCGGAAUCACUGGGCGUAAAGCGUGCGCAGGCGGUCCGCUAAGACAGAUGUGAAAUCCCCGGGCUUAACCUGGGAACUGCAUUUGUGACUGGCGGGCUAGAGUAUGGCAGAGGGGGGUAGAAUUCCACGUGUAGCAGUGAAAUGCGUAGAGAUGUGGAGGAAUACCGAUGGCGAAGGCAGCCCCCUGGGCCAAUACUGACGCUCAUGCACGAAAGCGUGGGGAGCAAACAGGAUUAGAUACCCCCGUAGUCCCUGUCUCUUAUAA